UACGACCAUCAAAAAUAAAUAAGACACAU
This 29-nucleotide non-coding RNA is filed under the name Cricetulus griseus (Chinese hamster). The record is from RNAcentral. Lineage: Eukaryota; Metazoa; Chordata; Mammalia; Rodentia; Cricetidae.